This 492-nucleotide ribosomal RNA is filed under the name uncultured bacterium. Its description in RNAcentral is "partial 16S ribosomal RNA". It matches the Rfam family "Bacterial small subunit ribosomal RNA", at positions 29 to 507 of the family's 1533-position model. The record is from RNAcentral.
AGUGAACGCUGGCGGUAGGCCUAACACAUGCAAGUCGAACGGCAGCACAGUAAGAGCUUGCUCUUACGGGUGGCGAGUGGCGGACGGGUGAGGAAUACAUCGGAAUCUACUUUUUCGUGGGGGAUAACGUAGGGAAACUUACGCUAAUACCGCAUACUACCUACGGGUGAAAGCAGGGGAUCUUCGGACCUUGCGCGAUUGAAUGAGCCGAUGUCGGAUUAGCUAGUUGGCGGGGUAAAGGCCCACCAAGGCGACGAUCCGUAGCUGGUCUGAGAGGAUGAUCAGCCACACUGGAACUGAGACACGGUCCAGACUCCUACGGGAGGCAGCAGUGGGGAAUAUUGGACAAUGGGCGCAAGCCUGAUCCAGCAAUACCGCGUGGGGGAAGAAGGCCUUCGGGUUGUAAAGCCCUUUUGUUGGGAAAGAAAAGCAGCAGGUUAAUACCCCGCUGUUCUGACGGUACCCAAAGAAUAAGCACCGGCUAACUUCGUG